CAAACUUUUGAUGCGACCGGCGCACGGGUGAGUAACACGUAUCCAACCUGCCUCAUACUCGGGGAUAGCCUUUCGAAAGAAAGAUUAAUACCCGAUGUUAUAGUCCUACCGCAUGAUGGGAUUAUUAAAGAAUUUCGGUAUGGGAUGGGGAUGCGUUCCAUUAGUUAGUUGGCGGGGUAACGGCCCACCAAGACAACGAUGGAUAGGGGUUCUGAGAGGAAGGUCCCCCACAUUGGAACUGAGACACGGUCCAAACUCCUACGGAAGGCAGCAG
RNAcentral lists this ribosomal RNA (274 nucleotides) under uncultured bacterium. Its description in RNAcentral is "partial 16S ribosomal RNA". It matches the Rfam family "Bacterial small subunit ribosomal RNA", at positions 76 to 354 of the family's 1533-position model. The record is from RNAcentral.